RNAcentral lists this transfer RNA (63 nucleotides) under Trigonopterus tounensis. RNAcentral describes it as "tRNA-Phe". Lineage: Eukaryota; Metazoa; Arthropoda; Insecta; Coleoptera; Curculionidae. The record is from RNAcentral.
AUUUAAGUAGCUUAUAAAGAGCAUAGUAUUGAAGAUGCUAGGGAAAGUUUUUAUUCUUAAAUA